This 552-nucleotide long non-coding RNA is filed under the name Panax ginseng (ginseng). Its description in RNAcentral is "long non-coding RNA (PGIN_LNC005450)". The record is from RNAcentral. Lineage: Eukaryota; Viridiplantae; Streptophyta; Magnoliopsida; Apiales; Araliaceae.
GCAUAUCAGCAUAUCUUAGAUCUUCAAACAAAAAUGCUACAUUCAUCCUGUCAGUAGGAAAUAAUUUUCUUCAAGUCUGAGAGUAAAACCUAUCUCAAUCUGAACAUCUUAACACAUUCUUAAAGUACACCAAUUUUCAACUCUGAAUUACUGAGGCAAUUAUGAAUAUUAUAAUCAAUCAUGUUUUGGUUGAAUACAACUUACUUUCAGCCCUUUCCACACCAAGAAGAUAGAAAAGAAAUGGAUAGAAUCCCUGCCUGCAGCAUUUUGAUUAUCUCCAUAGUAUAACUUUGAUCUUGUAUCCGCCGUACCAGUGAACAAAGAACAAAAGCCAAACUAUCUAAAUCUAUGUCUUCCUCUCCUUUUGUGAUUUUUUCCCUUCUCCUUGGUAUGUCUAUGCCAUUAAUUUCUCACGCAUUUUCUAUUUAUGGCAUAAAUACUUCAUGUUUCUUCAUAAAAGUAUACUGUAUAUAUAGGAUUUGUAUCAUAGCCAGAGCAAGCAAGUGAUUUUUUACUGGUUUCAAUGCGGGGAAUCACUAAAUUUGUUUGAAG